Molecule: RNA transcript, 1308 nt
Organism: Cucurbita moschata (crookneck pumpkin)
Lineage: Eukaryota; Viridiplantae; Streptophyta; Magnoliopsida; Cucurbitales; Cucurbitaceae
Gene name: large ribosomal RNA subunit accumulation protein YCED homolog 2, chloroplastic
Exons: 9
Source: RefSeq, a predicted model, not a curated record
UUUUAACAAUUUAAGUUACGCUCAUAUCUGUAGCUAUCAAGUCUUAAAAAAAAAAAUCUGUAUAAUAUUGUUAAAAUGCAAAAUUAGGAAGAGUUGGCACACAAAUUAUGGACCAUAAAAUUUACAGCGGCCAAAGAGGUAUUGAGAUAAAUAGCUAAACUCAGAUCAAAAUGAAGACAUUUCCAAGAAGGAAUUGGGGCCUUAUAUUUUGAGCAGAUAAGGUUCCAAUUCCAACUUCCUGCUUUCUCCACGCAUUAUCGUCUCUUACAGAGAAAUGGCAGAAGCUGGGCACCUUGUAGCAGCUGCAAAUGUCAACUCCAUUUCAAGUUCAUUCAAUAAGGCUGCUGCAUCCAAAUUUGCAACUCAAGCAUUCAAAAUCAAAGCUUCUUCAAAGAGAAAUGAUAUCUCCUUGAGAAGAAGCAGCAAACCUCCACGGCGUCUGAUCACAAUAUCAACAGCAGGAAGCAUGUGGCAGGGGAGAUGGAGCUGUGAUUACCUGCUUUCCCUGCAAGACUUCAACUUAGAAGACUUGGUAGAAGAUGAACACAAAAACGCACACGUCUUCAUCAAUCUCUGUAUUGAGAAGCACGCAAGUUUCGGGUUUACCGUGGAUGGAAAGAUCAACACAUCCUUCAUUCGAAAGUGCUGUACCUGUUCUUCACCAUACUGCAGAGAGACAAUGAUGGCAGCUAUUAGAUUAAAAAGUAUAGUAACCUUCACAAUUUCCUUGUCAUCUCUAUCUCAUCUAUUCAUGAGGGUUCAAUUCAGCAGCAUCCCAACCGAGGUUCUAACACCUACAAUCAUUUUAAUCCAACAGAUCAAUGCAAAUUUUAAUGUACUUGUUCUGUCAUCAAACAGAGCCAAACGGGAGACUACUCUUCCAGACAUUGGAGGCGAUGAUCCAUCGGUGAUCUACGUUAAACCCGGACUUGAGGCUGAUCUAGAUUCAUUGGUACGUGACACAAUUAGGCUUACCACCUCAACAAAGGACACUUGCUCAGAGUUGUGUGAGAAAUCUCAACCCUCAGUGCAAUAUAUUGGAGCACAGAAUGCUGCGUCUAUAGACAAGAGGUGGUCUAGGCUUCUGGAGCUUAGAAAAUCUCAUUCAUAGAUAACAAACAAUAUAUAAUACAGAAGUGGAACUACAAUUAGUCUUGCCUUAACAAUUAUAUUUCUCUUUCAAGUAAUGGGAGACCCUAUAAGUUACUACAGCUAGUAGGUAAUGGUAACAUGGCUUAGCUAAACCAACCAGGACAUCCAACAACCGAAUGCCGGAUGCACAGCUUGAAGAUAUUGUAAAGCUACUAG